This 254-nucleotide ribosomal RNA is filed under the name uncultured bacterium. Its description in RNAcentral is "partial 16S ribosomal RNA". It matches the Rfam family "Bacterial small subunit ribosomal RNA", at positions 524 to 776 of the family's 1533-position model. The record is from RNAcentral.
UACGUAGGGGGCAAGCGUUGUCCGGAUUUAUUGGGCGUAAAGAGCGUGUAGGCGGCCUGACAAGUCUGCUGUGAAAACUCGAGGCUCAACCUCGAGAUGUCGGCGGAAACUGUCUGGCUAGAGUCCGGAAGAGGAGAGUGGAAUUCCUGGUGUAGCGGUGAAAUGACGCAGAUAUCAGGAAGAACACCUAUGGCGAAGGCAGCUCUCUGGGACGGUACUGACGCUGAGACGCGAAAGCGUGGGGAGCGAACAGG